UAAUACCAGCACCUCGAGUGAUCAGGACGUUUAUUGGGCCUAAAGCAUCCGUAGCUGGCUUUGCAAGUCUCCGGUUAAAAUCAACCUGCUCAACAGAUUGGCCGCUGGAGAUACUACAAGGCUAGGGAGUGGGAGAGGCAGACGGGUAUUCGGGGGGUAGGGGUAAAAUCCUCUGAUCCUCUGAGGACCACCAGUGGCGAAGGCGGUCUGCCAGAACACGUUCGACAGUGAGGGAUGAAAGCUGGGGGAGCAAACCGGAUUAGAUACCCGGGUAGUCCCCAGCUGUAAACGAUGCAAACUCGGUGAAGCAUUGGCUUAAUGCUAAUGCUGUGCCGCAGGAAGGGGGGGCCUUAAGGUUUGCCGCCUGGGAAGUACGGUCGCAAGAUUGAAACUUAAAUGAAUUGACGGGUCGUG
Molecule: ribosomal RNA, 414 nt
Filed under: uncultured archaeon
Lineage: Archaea
Description: bacterial SSU rRNA
Rfam family: Archaeal small subunit ribosomal RNA
Source: RNAcentral